Molecule: long non-coding RNA, 661 nt
Organism: Pecten maximus
Lineage: Eukaryota; Metazoa; Mollusca; Bivalvia; Pectinida; Pectinidae
Exons: 3
Source: RefSeq, a predicted model, not a curated record
AAAACAUUUUCCACAUUCUUCUUUGAAACUGGAAAAGGAUGUUAAAAUUUUAAAUUUAUAAUUAUUAUCAUUUGCAAAAUAUGUUUUUGUUACAGUCCAGUUGUGACAUAAUAGUAUUUGACACAUUUUGAAAUUUUUGAAGAAAGUUGAAAUGCUGAUAAUUUGAGCUUUGACCAGUUUCAAUGAAGAGGUUUUAGAAUAUAAGUAGAUACAAGAAAUGCCCAUCAUAUUGUUAAAUAUAGGAAUUGCUAUGCUAGGAAUGUUAAAGUUUUAAAGACAGGCUAGGUAAACCAUUGGACCAGUUGGUAAUGGCAGAUAGCUGCAGACAAAGGAUUGGAGGAAUCCAGCUGGUCGGGCAUGAGGAGAAGAAAUAAGGGGAGACUACUCCAGCACAGCCUAGAUGUACAUGACAUCAACACAAGUGACUGAUGACCUGUACAAAAUUGAUAUGAUGCCUGGGCUCAAAUAUUUCCUUCCUCAAAAAGAAAACAAAGAAAGAAGAUGGUCACCAUAGCAACAUGACAACAACCAGUAUUACUGUAUAGACAAAAUAAGAUUGCCGUCGGGUAUUGAGUGCACACCUGUCACAGAUUGCCAUCAGAUAUUUAUAAGGACACACCUGUAACUUACCUCCCAGGUAUCUAUAUUAAUUGUGUUAAUA